UAAGGAAUCUUCCACAAUGGACGAAAGUCUGAUGGAGCAACACCGCGUGCAGGAUGACGGCCUUCGGGUUGUAAACUGCUUUUAUAUGGGAAGAUUAUGACGGUACCAUAUGAAUAAGGACCGGCUAACUACGUGCCAGCAGCCGCGGUAAUACGUAGGGUCCAAGCGUUAUCCGGAAUCACUGGGCGUAAAGCGUGCGUAGGUGGCGUGUUAAGUGUGAUGUUAAAUCGUGUGGCUCAACCAUAUCGAUGUGUCGCAUACUGGCAUGCUAGAGGGAAGCAGAGGCAAGUGGAAUUUGUAGUGUAGCAGUGAAAUGCGUAGAUAUUACAAGGAACACCAAUGGCGAAGGCAGCUUGCUGGGCUUCUUCUGACACUGAGGUACGAAAGCGUGGGGAGCGAACAG
Molecule: ribosomal RNA, 403 nt
Filed under: uncultured bacterium
Lineage: Bacteria
Description: bacterial SSU rRNA
Rfam family: Bacterial small subunit ribosomal RNA
Source: RNAcentral